AAACCUUUAAGUUUAAAACAAAUGUUUUGAAAACAUUAUUAGGGCCUAGACCCAAGGGUUA
RNAcentral lists this transfer RNA (61 nucleotides) under Pandorites podoceroides. RNAcentral describes it as "tRNA-Ser". Lineage: Eukaryota; Metazoa; Arthropoda; Malacostraca; Amphipoda; Pontogammaridae. The record is from RNAcentral.